GUAGAGGUAGUUUAAUCGGUCAAAACAAUCAGCGGUGAGGUCGCGGCUCACAUGAUAGUUGUAGGUUCGAAUCCUGUCCUCUGCACUA
RNAcentral lists this transfer RNA (88 nucleotides) under Hominimerdicola alba SY3. Its description in RNAcentral is "Ruminococcus albus SY3 tRNA-Leu". It matches the Rfam family "tRNA". From Rfam's summary of the family: Transfer RNA (tRNA) molecules are approximately 80 nucleotides in length. Their secondary structure includes four short double-helical elements and three loops (D, anti-codon, and T loops). Further hydrogen bonds mediate the characteristic L-shaped molecular structure. tRNAs have two regions of fundamental functional importance: the anti-codon, which is responsible for specific mRNA codon recognition, and the 3' end, to which the tRNAs corresponding amino acid is attached (by aminoacyl-tRNA synthetases). tRNAs cope with the degeneracy of the genetic code in two manners: having more than one tRNA (with a specific anti-codon) for a particular amino acid; and 'wobble' base-pairing, i.e. permitting non-standard base-pairing at the 3rd anti-codon position. Lineage: Bacteria; Bacillati; Bacillota; Clostridia; Eubacteriales; Oscillospiraceae. The record is from RNAcentral.